UGGGGUAGGUAGGAUCGGGGUGCUAGCCGUGCCCCAUAUCGGAAAUCGGCUUCAUGCUGAGAUCAGUAACUACUAGGUAAAUUCACGAAUGGGCGGUACCUGCUUAUCUGUCUGAUAUGAAAUCAUGCCGUAUCGGAUGGCUAUGAACAGCAAACUACAUGAAGGUGUGGCCUUGACUGUGUAUUGUCGAAAUGGGUGAGGUCCGGGAGGGAGCAACCCUAAGGCAGCGCAGCCAUGCUGUUACGUCUACGUGGUGGAUUUGGAAAGAUUUGAGAUGGGGCUGCUUAUUCGUGUCGGUACUAGUAGGCUACCCCA
RNAcentral lists this signal recognition particle RNA (315 nucleotides) under Thermoproteota archaeon. RNAcentral describes it as "signal recognition particle sRNA". It matches the Rfam family "Archaeal signal recognition particle RNA". Lineage: Archaea; Thermoproteati; Thermoproteota. The record is from RNAcentral.